Molecule: unclassified non-coding RNA, 260 nt
Filed under: Hevea brasiliensis (rubber tree)
Lineage: Eukaryota; Viridiplantae; Streptophyta; Magnoliopsida; Malpighiales; Euphorbiaceae
Source: RNAcentral
GCAUUUGAGACAAACAGAGAAACACUCUUAUCAAAGCUAAUCUUGAACUGGAAAAACCAAAUAUUGAAGGAUACUCACCCAAAUUUUCGUAGUGAAUUAGCUAAGUUUUGGGCUUUGAGGAAUGAACAGUAAAACAUCAAGCGAGUCGAGCAGGCUGACAUGCUCUCAUUCUAUUUCCCUGGAAAACUGCGAAGAACAAAGAAUUGAUGAGGGUUAUGCAUUCGCUUGCAACUGGCUAAAUAAAUCUUCAAUUUCCAUUU